This 261-nucleotide long non-coding RNA is filed under the name Vigna radiata. RNAcentral describes it as "long non-coding RNA (VRAD_LNC002035)". The record is from RNAcentral. Lineage: Eukaryota; Viridiplantae; Streptophyta; Magnoliopsida; Fabales; Fabaceae.
AAAUUAAAUUAAAAGGACAAUUAGGGACAAAAAGGACGGAGUUGAGAUUGAGGGAGGGAGACAAGGAAACAUGACUGACUCCUUUGGAGGAAGUUUUAGAUCCAUUUGCAAGGGUUAUGAAAUGAGGUUUCUCUCGAAAAGAAAUAGAUGAGAACAAAGAGGUAUUACCAGAAAUAUGAUCAGAAGCACCUGAGUCAAUUACCCAUGAAUUUGGACCUUCCAUGGAUUGAGAAAUGCAGGUUGUUGAUGUACUGGGAGAUU